UGUCUCCUGUUUCUGAUUUUGGUUUUUAAGGUCUGGAUAAGCUCUCGCUUAUUUGAAUCCUCCCAUAAGAUAUAACCAGAGUGAUGGAAAAUGCUGACUGAUUCUGCAGCCUGCAUUGUGGAAAAACAAAAUAGUCAUGACAAAAACUGCCCUUAAGUCAUUUUGCUUCUCUGGAGUUCCUGAUCUUACUCAUCUAAUUUCAUGCACGUGAAUAUUCCCAUUGAUUAAGAAGGAGUGUAAGGAGCAUUCUGGUGACACCAUGGGACAGAAACUUCUCUGGGUUCAGCGCACCGUGAUAGGAGAAGACAGCUGCAGCAGGCUCGCUCUGAGGCAAACACAUCUUCCCAGGCGUGGAACGUAUUGGAUAGGUACAUGGCUUUUGCCGUUCUGGAUUCCUGUGAGCUUUGGGAGAGGAGCGAUCCUGCUAUCUGGAAGGCUGCGUUUUGCCAGUGGUCUACAAAACACCGUUCUCAAAUGUCCGCACCGUCUGGGGACCUGGCAUCCAGCUUACGGAUGGGGAUUCACCCUGGCAGCAGCCAAGUCCCUGAGGAGAAGGAGGGAUGAAGCAAAGUCUGGGGAACAAAUCCCCAGCCGAAGAUCAGCACGCGAGCUCAGACACACACGUAUUCCCAUGAAUGCUUGUGGAUGCCAAAAU
Long non-coding RNA from Struthio camelus australis, 655 nucleotides. The record is from Ensembl. NCBI's taxonomy places the organism in Eukaryota, Metazoa, Chordata, Aves, Struthioniformes, Struthionidae.